Molecule: ribosomal RNA, 542 nt
Filed under: Colletotrichum sp. AX159
Lineage: Eukaryota; Fungi; Ascomycota; Sordariomycetes; Glomerellales; Glomerellaceae
Description: eukaryotic LSU rRNA
Rfam family: 5.8S ribosomal RNA (bases 216-369)
Source: RNAcentral
UCGUAACAAGGUCUCCGUUGGUGAACCAGCGGAGGGAUCAUUACUGAGUUUACGCUCUACAACCCUUUGUGAACAUACCUAUAACUGUUGCUUCGGCGGGUAGGGUCUCCGUGACCCUCCCGGCCUCCCGCCCCCGGGCGGGUCGGCGCCCGCCGGAGGAUAACCAAACUCUGAUUUAACGACGUUUCUUCUGAGUGGUACAAGCAAAUAAUCAAAACUUUUAACAACGGAUCUCUUGGUUCUGGCAUCGAUGAAGAACGCAGCGAAAUGCGAUAAGUAAUGUGAAUUGCAGAAUUCAGUGAAUCAUCGAAUCUUUGAACGCACAUUGCGCCCGCCAGCAUUCUGGCGGGCAUGCCUGUUCGAGCGUCAUUUCAACCCUCAAGCUCUGCUUGGUGUUGGGGCCCUACGGCUGACGUAGGCCCUCAAAGGUAGUGGCGGACCCUCCCGGAGCCUCCUUUGCGUAGUAACUUUACGUCUCGCACUGGGAUCCGGAGGGACUCUUGCCGUAAAACCCCCAAUUUCCAAAGGUGACCUCGAUCAGG